This 1287-nucleotide ribosomal RNA is filed under the name metagenome. Its description in RNAcentral is "bacterial SSU rRNA". It matches the Rfam family "Bacterial small subunit ribosomal RNA", at positions 8 to 1312 of the family's 1533-position model. The record is from RNAcentral.
AGAGUUUGAUCCUGGCUCAGGACGAACGCUGGCGGCGUGCUUAACACAUGCAAGUCGAGCGGAAAGGCCCUUCGGGGUACUCGAGCGGCGAACGGGUGAGUAACACGUGAGUAACCUGCCCCUGACUCUGGGAUAAGCCUGGGAAACUGGGUCUAAUACCGGAUACGACCUCCUGCGGCAUCGUGGGUGGUGGAAAGUUUUUCGGUUGGGGAUGGGCUCGCGGCCUAUCAGCUUGUUGGUGGGGUAGUGGCCUACCAAGGCGACGACGGGUAGCCGGCCUGAGAGGGCGACCGGCCACACUGGGACUGAGACACGGCCCAGACUCCUACGGGAGGCAGCAGUGGGAAUAUUGCGCAAUGGGCGGAAGCCUGACGCAGCGACGCCGCGUGGGGGAUGACGGCCUUCGGGUUGUAAACCUCUUUCAGCAGGGACGAAGUUGACGUGUACCUGCAGAAGAAGCGCCGGCUAACUACGUGCCAGCAGCCGCGGUAAUACGUAGGGCGCAAGCGUUGUCCGGAAUUAUUGGGCGUAAAGAGCUCGUAGGUGGCUGGUCGCGUCUGCCGUGAAAGCCCGCAGCUUAACUGCGGGUCUGCGGUGGAUACGGGCCGGCUAGAGGUAGGUAGGGGCAAGUGGAAUUCCUGGUGUAGCGGUGAAAUGCGCAGAUAUCAGGAGGAACACCGGUGGCGAAGGCGGCUUGCUGGGCCUUACCUGACGCUGAGUAGCGAAAGCGUGGGGAGCGAACAGGAUUAGAUACCCUGGUAGUCCACGCUGUAAACGUUGGGCGCUAGGUGUGGGGGUCUUCCACGAUCUCCGUGCCGGAGCUAACGCAUUAAGCGCCCCGCCUGGGAGUACGGCCGCAAGGCUAAAACUCAAAGGGAUUGACGGGGGCCCGCACAAGCGGCGGAGCAUGUUGCUUAAUUCGACGCAACGCGAAGAACCUUACCAAGGUUUGACAUCACCCGGAAACGUCCAGAGAUGGGCGCCUCUUCGGACUGGGUGACAGGUGGUGCAUGGCUGUCGUCAGCUCGUGUCGUGAGAUGUUGGGUUAAGUCCCGCAACGAGCGCAACCCUUGUUCCAUGUUGCCAGCACGCUCCUUCGGGGGUGGUGGGGACUCAUGGGAGACUGCCGGGGUCAACUCGGAGGAAGGUGGGGAUGACGUCAAGUCAUCAUGCCCCUUAUGUCUUGGGCUGCAAACAUGCUACAAUGGCCGGUACAGAGGGCUGCUAAACCGUGAGGUGGAGCGAAUCCCUAAAAGCCGGUCUCAGUUCGGAUUGGGGUCUGCAACU